AAACAUGCUGCAGUCUCUGCUCAUCUUUGAAGGUGCUGCCUUGCUUGCUUGCUUGCUUACUCUGAAAUUCUGCAGGAAGCCCCACAUGGAUUCUGGUGCUGUACAAGCCUCUCAGAACACCUCAACAGAUUGCACAGGGAAAGGAGGAGGCAGGAGAGAUGCACACUCCCCCAGAUGGAGAAACCUGCACUUGGCCAGAGCACUAUUUCCUGAGUGUGACAUGUUUGUUGCUGUGCCAGAAGACCAAUUUAGAUUACACUGCUGGGUGAAACAACAGAAAGGUAAGAAUCUGAGGUUAGUUUGGAUCAGCAAACAGAUUUCAAAACAUAAUUUGAGCUAUUAUGACUUCUCAUGUCCGCAAAACUCAGGAGGAACCAUCACGAGAAUGGAGUCCAAUGACCUUGCUGAUCAUCAGACUUUUCUAGCAGAUGCUAGAAAACCCCAUUCUUUUCUCAUAUGAAAAUAUUAAGAGAAGUUUUUGUUUACAUUCCAUUUUGGAAAAUACUAGUGGUUUGGAAUUUUUCAUUUUAUCCUAAAACUAUAAAGUUUUAAACCUCUAAUGGAAAUAUUUGAAACUCUAUCUGGGAUUUUAAAACACAGUAGCUUGACUGUCAGCCUAAUACAUCCUGAGGUAUUUACAGCUGAGAUGUAAAAACAAAAAAGUUUUAAUGACCAAUUUCAGAGUCUUUUCUGAAAUUGUUCUUAUGUUGGCUAUAUACAGCCCCAUGGUGUUCUCAUUAAAGGAACUGACUUAACUGAAAAUUUUACUUUGAACCAAUUUAUUUUCUCCUGCUUAAACUUGAAAAAUUAUUAGUAAAAUCUAUGAAGUAUAUGAGUAAAAUAUUACUUAACUGUUUGAGUUAGAGAUUACAUAGUUCUCUGUCCCUCAGAUUAGGUUGUCCCAAAAUCUUUAUAUCCUAUAAUCUCAGUAGUGAUAAAACCUGCUGCAAAUAUUCCUUCUCCAGGCUAGUAAAACAACUUGUUUGUAAUGCAUAAACUGAUUCAUGCUGAAUUAUUAAGUCCUAAAUAAAUGAAAUUGAGUGGUUCCUCCUUUCCUGAAG
Molecule: long non-coding RNA, 1061 nt
Filed under: Zonotrichia albicollis (white-throated sparrow)
Lineage: Eukaryota; Metazoa; Chordata; Aves; Passeriformes; Passerellidae
Description: lncRNA (ENSZALG00000009560.1)
Source: RNAcentral